This 76-nucleotide transfer RNA is filed under the name Planctomycetes bacterium DG_58. Its description in RNAcentral is "tRNA-Glu". It matches the Rfam family "tRNA". From Rfam's summary of the family: Transfer RNA (tRNA) molecules are approximately 80 nucleotides in length. Lineage: Bacteria; Pseudomonadati; Planctomycetota. The record is from RNAcentral. RNAcentral also lists the same sequence under 2 other names.
GCCCCCAUCGUCUAGCGGCCCAGGAUACCAGGUUCUCAGCCUGGGGACCGGGGUUCGAUUCCCCGUGGGGGUACCA